UGCAAGUCGANCGAUGACCCUGUGCUUGCACAGGUGAUUAGUGGCGAACGGGUGAGUAACACGUGAGUAACCUGCCCCUGACUCUGGGAUAAGCCCGGGAAACUGGGUCUAAUACUGGAUAUGCACCGUGGACCGCAUGGUUCUUGGUGGAAAGAUUUUUUGGUCAGGGAUGAGCUCGCGGCCUAUCAGCUUGUUGGUGAGGUAACGGCUCACCAAGGCGUCGACGGGUAGCCGGCCUGAGAGGGUGACCGGCCACACUGGGACUGAGACACGGCCCAGACUCCUACGGGAGGCAGCAGUGGGGAAUAUUGCACAAUGGGCGCAAGCCUGAUGCAGCAACGCCGCGUGAGGGACGACGGCCUUCGGGUUGUAAACCUCUUUUAGCAGGGAAGAAGCGAAGGUGACGGUACCUGCAGAAAAAGCGCCGGCCAACUACGUGCCAGCAGCCGCGGUAAUACGUAGGGCGCAAGCGUUAUCCGGAAUUAUUGGGCGUAAAGAGCUCGUAGGCGGUUUGUCGCGUCUGCUGUGAAAACCCGAGGCUCAACCUCGGGCCUGCAGUGGGUACGGGCAGACUAGAGUGCGGUAGGGGAGAUUGGAAUUCCUGGUGUAGCGGUGGAAUGCGCAGAUAUCAGGAGGAACACCGAUGGCGAANGCAGAUCUCUGGGCCGUAACUGACGCUGANGAGCGAAAGGGUGGGGAGCAAACANGCUUAAAUACCCUGGUAGUCCACCCCGUAAACGUUGGGAACUAGUNGUGGGGUCCAUUNCACGGAUUCCGUGACACAGCUAACGCAUUAAGU
This 799-nucleotide ribosomal RNA is filed under the name uncultured bacterium. Its description in RNAcentral is "bacterial SSU rRNA". It matches the Rfam family "Bacterial small subunit ribosomal RNA", at positions 56 to 865 of the family's 1533-position model. The record is from RNAcentral.